This 498-nucleotide ribosomal RNA is filed under the name Triticum aestivum (bread wheat). RNAcentral describes it as "partial small subunit ribosomal RNA". Lineage: Eukaryota; Viridiplantae; Streptophyta; Magnoliopsida; Poales; Poaceae. The record is from RNAcentral.
AUGACAUUAAGCUGGGAUGGCUACAUCAAGGUGAACACAGACGCUGCGAUCCAGCGCGAUGCUGGCAAUGCAGGUGCGGGGGGUGUCGCCCGCUCUUCAUCGGCUUUCCUGGGUGCAUGGUGCAAACCCCACAUGGGGGUCACGGAUCCUUUCAUUGCCGAAGUGCUCUCUCUUCGGGAGGGCACCAUCUUUGCGAAGCUUCGAGGAUUCACGCAUGUGCAACUUGAGACCGACUGUCUAGAGGCAGUAAACCUCUGGAACUCUAGCUACACUGAUCUUUCGGUGGUAGCACCGAUUCUGUUCGAAAUUAGAGAGCUCUCUGCUAGUUUUUUGUCUUUUGAUAUUUCUCAUGUAAGUAGAGCUGCUAACGGUCCUGCACACUUGUGUGCUAAGCGUGCAUGUACGCUUAACGUGACCGAGAGCUGGCUAGAUACCACUCCAAGCUUCCUGAUCAGCAGCCUCUUGGCUGACUGCCCAGCGAACGCCUUUAUUCAAUAA